Molecule: ribosomal RNA, 1157 nt
Filed under: Halopseudomonas formosensis
Lineage: Bacteria; Pseudomonadati; Pseudomonadota; Gammaproteobacteria; Pseudomonadales; Pseudomonadaceae
Description: bacterial LSU rRNA
Rfam family: Bacterial large subunit ribosomal RNA
Source: RNAcentral
UAUGGUCAAGUGAAUAAGCGCAUACGGUGGAUGCCUUGGCAGUCAGAGGCGAUGAAAGACGUGGUAGCCUGCGAUAAGCGUUGGGGAGGUGGCAAACGACCUUUGAUCCAGCGAUCUCUGAAUGGGGAAACCCACCUGGCACAAGCCAGGUAUCACACACUCAAUACAUAGGUGUGUGAGGCGAACCGGGGGAACUGAAACAUCUAAGUACCCCGAGGAAAAGAAAUCAACCGAGAUUCCCCAAGUAGUGGCGAGCGAACGGGGAGCAGCCCUUAAGCGGUUUUGAGUUUAGUGGAACACUCUGGAAAGUGUGGCCAUAGUGGGUGAUAGCCCCGUACACGAAAGACUCAUAGCCGUGAAAUCGAGUAGGUCGGCGCACGUGAAACGUUGACUGAACAUGGGGGGACCAUCCUCCAAGGCUAAAUACUCCUGACUGACCGAUAGUGAACCAGUACCGUGAGGGAAAGGCGAAAAGAACCCCUGUGAGGGGAGUGAAAUAGAACCUGAAACCGUAUGCGUACAAGCAGUGGGAGCCGACUUGUUCGGUGACUGCGUACCUUUUGUAUAAUGGGUCAGCGACUUAUAUUCAGUGGCGAGCUUAACCGUCUAGGGGAGGCGUAGGGAAACCGAGUCUUAAUAGGGCGUUUAGUCGCUGGGUAUAGACCCGAAACCGGGCGAUCUAUCCAUGAGCAGGUUGAAGGUGCCGUAACAGGCACUGGAGGACCGAACCCACUCCCGUUGAAAAGGUAGGGGAUGACUUGUGGAUAGGAGUGAAAGGCUAAUCAAGCUCGGAGAUAGCUGGUUCUCCUCGAAAGCUAUUUAGGUAGCGCCUCGUGUAUCACCACCGGGGGUAGAGCACUGUUUGGGCUAGGGGGUCAUCCCGACUUACCAACCCCAUGCAAACUCCGAAUACCGGUGAGUGCGAGCACGGGAGACACACGGCGGGUGCUAACGUCCGUCGUGAAAAGGGAAACAACCCAGACCGUCAGCUAAGGUCCCAAAGUCAUGGUUAAGUGGGAAACGAUGUGGGAAGGCUUAGACAGCUAGGAGGUUGGCUUAGAAGCAGCCAUCCUUUAAAGAAAGCGUAAUAGCUCACUAGUCGAGUCGGCCUGCGCGGAAGAUGUAACGGGGCUAAACCAUGCACCGAAGCUACGGGU